UGUCCUAGAGUCAACAUUCGUCUGAUACCACUUCUGUCACACCAGGAUUUAGGGGGCCAAACCCUGGCGCGGUUCACAUGUGUGCUAGGAUCAAGUCUCACACAUAUGAUGACUCAUGGUACAGAAACGAAUGUCACAACUUUAAUAUAUAAUAGAGUUCUAUACAAAAUAGUUAAAUAAUUACAUCAUAUGAAGACAACGAUCUAGCAACUAAAGUUGACUUGGAGACGACGGCCUAGACCACUCACGAACUCAUCACAACAUCCUUCACACGCCUCAUCCUGUGGUACCUGUACUUGACCUAGGGAAUGUGAGUACAACAAGGGUGAGCUCACAUACGUUCAUCACGCAACAAGUUGUGGGGAAUAAUGUGCAUGAGCUCACUUACGGUGGGCCUCAUGUGAAGUGUAAGGCUUACCAAAGGAGAUGGUUAAAGCUGAGCAUUGCUUUUAGAGUUGGUCAAAAUUUUGUUAGCAGUUAAUUACUAAGUAUAAGUAGAUACCAACCCAAUUAAAUAAGAGAUCACAAUUGAUAAUAACACCCACAAUGCAAUGCAUAUGACAGAUUAAGUUUAAUUCCAUAAUUUAAUCAUGCGAGAGUCCUAAGUCGCUCUUGACCAUGAGCACGGCUGAUAUACCAGUUUUACACUCUGCAGAGGUUGCACCCUUUACCCACAAGUCGUGUAUCUCGUCUACCCAGGGUUUGCAAGGCCCUUAGACACUUCUGAGGUGAAUGGAUAGGGAUCCACUACGAGGCCUUUACAAAGCUCCACUAGCUUUGAAAACCCGCUAUGGUUUCUGAGAAGGGCAAUAUAGGAAUCCCUCGUCCAAAAGUCAUCGCAGCAUGAUCAACCCGAGAACCUCCCUAUACACAGCUCCUCUACCGCCCUUGCCUCUUUCGGGUAAGGUAGUCCUCCACUAGCUUUUCUAAUUAGUCAGCCAAGGGCGUCCCAUGCCACCCUUGUGAUAGCACAGAUAUCUCAAGUUAAGCUCCAUGUUCCAAUUAACACAAUGAUCUUGCCAUGAACAAUAAUUAAAACAACAGCAUAACUGGAACAUGAUCAAAAUAUAACAUUAAUUUCACAAAACCAGGUAGAGUAAUAGCAAAACUACCCAAUAGUUCUUUUGUCUGCAAGGUGUGGGAUAAACAAUGCUAGGGAAGCCUAUUAGGUACCAUCAAAUUAAUCUAAGCAUGUCACAGUGAUUAACAGGAACAUUAAUGGGUAAAGAGAAAAGUGAUCAAGGUCACAACUUGCCUUACACUUGAGAUCCUAGGUACCAAGUUGGUCUUCAGAUUCUCGUGACCUCACCGUUAUUCGUAGCAAUACAUACAAUCAAGCAAGUAAUGGAUAUAAUUACAUUACACCAAAGCAUAUGAACAAACAACAUAAGAGUAUCCUACGCGCUGCUACAAGAUCAUAGGCUCGAGAACCACUAAAUUCGGAGUUACUGUUAAAGAGUUAUGAUUUUCUGAGGAUUUAAGUGUUAGAUCUAAAACAAAUUAAGUACAUAAUUUUAACCAUGUUUUCAUACUAAAAUAAGGUUACUAGAUGAUAAACAAUAUUAACAUGAAUUUAUUGCAACUGGAAUGGAUUAAAAACGAGUUAAACUAAAAUACUUAUGAAUUAAACAAGGUUCUGGAAUUAUUUUUAUGCUAGAAAUAUUUUUCUUUAUUAAUUUUACUCAUUUUAUUUAAUCCUUGUACUGCGACCACUAUUUCAGAAGAGUUUAGGGUUUAUUUUGUAAAUUCAAGGACUCCUUUGUAACACUCUUGCAAAAGGGAUGGGCGGCGGGUUAGUUUGUCAGAAGGGCAGGGUCUCCAUAGGAAAAUUGUUCGGCGAAGGAGUACGAUAGAUUCUGAGUCGUUGGAUUCAUGAUCUAUGGUUACGGUUAAUAUCGCGAAUGAUAUGCUUCCUAGGCCACAGGAUCAGCGAUCAAUGACCCCGGAUUAGUCCUGCACCCUUAAGUUGAAUUCAACUCCCAACCGCACGAUCCCGAUCAGACGAUCGUGAUUUUAUUAAGUCCAGAUUUCAUCACAGUCAUCCAUCGUCGAAUCAGCGAUUCCCAUGCAAUCCCCUGGACCAGGCACCCAUCAUCUAAUUCUGGGCGCCAGAUGAAGAUCCAACGGCCAGGGUUGUUUCUUCUUCCCUGAUACCGGACCACGGUGGCGCAGGCACUAGGCGGCGGUGCCAUUGCCAUCGCACACCCCCCAGCAACAAAGAGCCCAAACCUUACCGUAAAACACAGCUACGCGAGGUGGAGACCAUGCAUAGACGGGUUGUGGGGUCUUACCUGUGAAUCGAGAGUCGCAUGGCCCAUGUCCACGACGAUCCGCUGACCGCCACGAAACUCCACAUCAGCGUGAGAUUACCGGCCUUCCAUUCGCACGGUUAGUCCACGAGAACAUUGCCUGGUCCCAAGUCGGCCCUCGCGUUCUCUAGUGGUACCCGUGGACACCCAGCACGACGAAGCCCGAGCGAUGGCGGUCAUCUUUUCACACCCGCAUCUCCCGCAGCAACGGUGACCAUAUAUACUGCUAUGGAGCCCGCGGAUCGGGGCCAGCUUCAGCAAUAUGCAACGACUUCAAGGAAUCACGGAGUUUGUUGCAGCGCGCAAACAAGGCCAGGCAGGGCUCCCCAUGAAUCACGGUGGAGUUUGUU
This 2659-nucleotide long non-coding RNA is filed under the name Zea mays. Its description in RNAcentral is "long non-coding RNA (ZMAY_LNC004652)". Lineage: Eukaryota; Viridiplantae; Streptophyta; Magnoliopsida; Poales; Poaceae. The record is from RNAcentral.